Small RNA from Tannerella forsythia 92A2, 45 nucleotides. It matches the Rfam family "Acido-Lenti-1 RNA". NCBI's taxonomy places the organism in Bacteria, Pseudomonadati, Bacteroidota, Bacteroidia, Bacteroidales, Tannerellaceae. The record is from Rfam.
CCCAACGCUUCGCAUUGGGCUGAAUUAUCUCGCCCUUUCAGGGCU